Molecule: microRNA precursor, 123 nt
Filed under: Theobroma cacao (cacao)
Lineage: Eukaryota; Viridiplantae; Streptophyta; Magnoliopsida; Malvales; Malvaceae
Source: RNAcentral
AGAGUGGGUUUGAGCCAGGAAUGACUUGCCGCAAGUCACUUCUCAGUUAAGCUGCUGUCUAUUAUAUGUAUGGCUUAACUGUGUGUUGAUCCGGCAAGUUGUUCCUGCUCACUUUCGCUCUCU